CCUACGGGGGGCUGCAGUGAGGAAUAUUGGACAAUGGGCGCAAGCCUGAUCCAGCCAUGCCGCGUGCAGGAUGACGGUCCUAUGGAUUGUAAACUGCUUUUGUACAGGAAGAAACACCUCUACGUGUAGAGACUUGACGGUACUGUAAGAAUAAGGAUCGGCUAACUCCGUGCCAGCAGCCGCGGUAAUACGGAGGAUCCAAGCGUUAUCCGGAAUCAUUGGGUUUAAAGGGUCCGUAGGCGGUCAGAUAAGUCAGUGGUGAAAGCCCAUCGCUCAACGGUGGAACGGCCAUUGAUACUGUCUGACUUGAAUUAUUAGGAAGUAACUAGAAUAUGUAGUGUAGCGGUGAAAUGCUUAGAGAUUACAUGGAAUACCAAUUGCGAAGGCAGGUUACUACUAAUGGAUUGACGCUGAUGGACGAAAGCGUGGGUAGCGAACAGGAUUAGAUACCCUAGUAGUC
Molecule: ribosomal RNA, 460 nt
Filed under: uncultured bacterium
Lineage: Bacteria
Description: bacterial SSU rRNA
Rfam family: Bacterial small subunit ribosomal RNA
Source: RNAcentral